This 200-nucleotide long non-coding RNA is filed under the name Olea europaea (common olive). RNAcentral's name for it is "long non-coding RNA (OEUR_LNC013411)". The record is from RNAcentral. Lineage: Eukaryota; Viridiplantae; Streptophyta; Magnoliopsida; Lamiales; Oleaceae.
ACGUGAAUAUGCAUAGAAAAUUAUAUGUAUUUAAAAUUAUGAGAAUUUACAGAAAGAAAAUCGGUGCAAAAAUGUAGAGAGAGCAAUAAGAAUAAUGGUAUGCAUAGGUGUGUAGUGUAUGUUGGAGUAUUUUAGGAUUGCACAAGGUGAAGUUGAGAGAGUGAGGAAAACAUCGUAUAUUCAGCUAAUAAAGUCUUUUU